RNAcentral lists this ribosomal RNA (254 nucleotides) under Vibrio parahaemolyticus. RNAcentral describes it as "partial 23S ribosomal RNA". It matches the Rfam family "Bacterial large subunit ribosomal RNA", at positions 1583 to 1820 of the family's 2925-position model. The record is from RNAcentral. Lineage: Bacteria; Pseudomonadati; Pseudomonadota; Gammaproteobacteria; Vibrionales; Vibrionaceae.
UAGUGAAGUCAUUGAUGCCAUGCUUCCAGGAAAAGCCUCUAAGCUUCAGAUUGUAAGGAAUCGUACCCCAAACCGACACAGGUGGUCGGGUAGAGAAUACCAAGGCGCUUGAGAGAACUCGGGUGAAGGAACUAGGCAAAAUGGUACCGUAACUUCGGGAGAAGGUACGCUCUCGACGGUGAAGUCCCUCGCGGAUGGAGCUAUUGAGAGUCGCAGAUACCAGGUGGCUGCAACUGUUUAUUAAAAACACAGCA